ACGAAGACGAUGCCGCUGCCGGGUUGCUACUGCUGCCCCCUUGUUCUAUUAGAAACACUUCGAAGUGUGCUUCGCUUCCUUUCACCAGCCGCUCGUGCCGUUGAUAUUCAAUGUGCUUAUUAUUAUUCACUUCUAAAACUGUGCUUGAGAAACUACCUUGUAAAGAUUUUUUUUGUCCAACUGAAAAUUUGCUGUAUUCGUUAAGUAAAUCUUCAGUUGGCAAAUAGUAAUCCUGUUUAGCACUUCACUAGAAUAAGUCGUUGAAAAAGUGAACUAAGUGAGCGCACUCCACAAAGAUCACUGAUAUUUCAAAAGAAUAGUCUUCACAACGAACACUUCCAAACGUGUCAGCGUUUGGUAUUUUAUUUCGUUUUUUCUUGAAUUUGUUUCCGCGCCCGCCCUGCGCUGUUCUAUCGUUCUUUAGGCAGUGCACGGCCCGCUAAACAAAUAACAUCAGGUAUUAAACACUGAGGACUUCUUCACUACAACUUCACUUUAUGUAGUAAUACUGGACCUCAGCCAGCCAAUUGAACUGUAGCUACUGUUUCAAUAUUAAUUGUAGUCACUUCGUCGAUCGCUGGUUUCGAUUCGUGCUAGCUACCUUUUCAGAGCAGCCUUGCUAGAGUUGUUGUUACCGACAGCGUCGCCGUGCAAAACAUGGAACCCGCCUGUCGAAACGCUUGGCUCUACUCUGUUAGGCGAUAGUUGCUUAGUUAGUCGGUCUACUGUAUGGAUACUUCUGCUGCUGAUGGUUCGCUCGUUCAACGCGACGGCGGCGGUAGCGACGAUUGAGUUAGCUGCCAACAGCCUCGUGGCUUAAGCAAGGGCCAGCAGUAGCAGGGAGACGGACAGUAGGCAAGCGGCACACGCAGGCCGUGCCGGCAGCGGCCAAGAGUCUCUUUUGAAUGGGAGAAGGUAAAGAGGGCCCCGGGUGAGGGACAACAAACUACACACACCUCCGCCAUCACCAUUAUUAGCCCAGUAAAGUCGCACACCAUCCUGUUGGACGUAUCGCAACGGACAAAUGGUAAGCUUCACAGUAAUCAAAUGUCAGAUGCCGAAUGCGAAGCACCGUGAAUAUUUUGUAGGAGUUCCGACGCCAAUACACGCCAUCUGCGCCACGGUUAAACUUCAGUGUGAGUCUAUCUGGCAUCUGUUGAUAUGAUUUCGAUCGUCUCACUUCUACAAAUUUACGGCAAUAAGGUUACGUACGGUACCUUCGAAUAGUAAUACGUAUGUGGUAUAUCUGCCAUAUAAGGACGAUUUGAGUGCUGGCGGUGCCGUAGUGAAUAGGGAUACGCUGUACAGUGAUUUAUGGUUCUGUUGAACCGGUAGCUCACAUCUGUAUGAUCCUAAUACUUGAGCGGGGGCAUCGAUAUCGGGGCAUCGUGAAAACCGCAGGCCGUAGCAUAUGGAAAACGAAAAAGAUACGCGUACUGUGCCGUUUGAAUCAAGAAGCAUCGGUAAUAGCGUCGCAGACAACGGAGCUCCUGGAAUUCAUACUUUAUAAUUUUCUAUAGAAGAGUGCAUAGAUUUCUUUUUCGAGAUAACUUUAAAUAAUUAUCAUAAGAUAAAAUUUCGAUGGAAGUUUUUUCAACCAGCAUAACCACGGAAUGCUCAAAGUAUUAGUCGGCGGCUUCCUAGCUCAGAGAAUAUUUGGAAGUUGACAUAUAUUUGAUUAUUUCUAUUGCAAUAUCAAAAACGUGAAUUUUACCGUUUUACUACUAAGUCCAUAGAAAAAUAUAGUUUGUCAAAUUAUAAUGGUUUCAGCCAGAAACUGGGUAGCUAAACGACUAACCUGGUCACAGAUCCGGUACCCCAUUAAGAACUCUACAAGGUGUCCUGAAAACAAAAGCAAUGUUUUUCCUAAUUACGACACACAAGGAUAUUCAAAGAUAUAUAAUUUUCGUAAUUUUAUGAUCUCAUUCGUCUUUUUCGGAUAACUGAAGAAAAUAUGAUUAGAUCGACAAUUAGGCAAUUGAAACCUGCACUGCGGUAAUAUCGGAGACAGAAGGUACUGAAGUAAAAUAAAACUGCAGAAUAGAGCUGAGUGAUUUCAAGCGCCAGAACAAUGACGUCUAUCGGUCAAAUUGAUUACGGAAUACUGCGUGCGGUGGUACAAACGAGAAUUGCAUCUUAUAUGUAGUUUUUUAUAUCUUCGCAAUAGUUGGUAUUUUUUUACUAUUUCUAAUGCUUUUUCGAGUAAAAAAUGCCGAGUUCUGCCUCUUAUCACAAAUUUAGGUACCUUAGUGACCAGAUGCUUUUUAUUAGGCUCCUUGAAAAUUUUUUUCAAAAAGUCUGCCCCGGUAUCUUCGAAAUCGACUACUAUAAUGAUCUAUGGCGUUUACAUGUCUAGAAAAAACACAAGGAAUAAAAAUUCUACUAUAUUUGGCGUGGAGUGAACGUUAAAAUUUUCGUUUUGUAUUAGUGAGACGCUAUAGCCUUUUUUGGCACGAAGCUAAUUUUUGUCUGUAAUAAUUUAAGAGCAGUUCCUAUAUAGCGUAUUGCCCAAAUAUGUCAACGCUGUUUAUUUAAGAAAGUCGACUCUUAAUACGAAUCGACAGGACAACAGAUUCACUAUGACCGAAAUCGACAUUUGAGGACUAAACAAGCACGAUAAGUUAUAAAAGGUGGCCUCAAAGGCCUAAGACCAACAGAGCUUCAAGCUACACAUAAAGUAUAUAUAUCUUCAACGUUAAACAGGACCGAUCAUAAUAACUCAUAGAUUACCAAUUAUGUAGAACUGGAUAUAUUGAGCGAGAGCGAGAUGCAGCGACCGUUAUAGUCAGGGUGUCCAAGUCAAGCCAUCUGUUUUGCCAAUUUUAGCGUUGGUCUACACGUAACGUCAUCUCGUAAUAUGCUCAGUUUUUUUUUGAGGAGUCUAAUAAAAUUAAAAAAGGAAUAAUAAAAGAUUCUUAAAGUUCAUAUUAAAAAGUGUGCCUAGAUAUUUACAUCGGCAUAAUUUUCUUUUUUUAGUAUUUAUUUUAUAAUAUAUAUGGUCAAAAUAAUAGUAUAAUAAAGUCGUACAAUACAAAUAAGGUUCUAUAUAAAAUAUGUGAGCUCCCAGUUUUCAGAGGUUCUACAGGCCAACUAAUAUACUGAAUCAGAAGUACACGGAGAAAAUAUAGCAUGCAAUGCGUUGGUCUUGCUAGGUAGAUUUCAAUCUAAGCACACAGAUAUUAAGAUCAUUCAACUUCACUAUUUGCUAAAAAGAACAUGUUAGGAAUAUGUAUUGUUGUAUUAUGCGUCUUUUUGACCGAAUAAUAGCGGUAAGCCGAGCUGCUAGGUUCACUGGCUUUUUUUGCACAGAGAUCACGCCACAAAAAGUGCGUGUUGAGACAGUUAAACAAAAAACGGAUGCUUUAUGGACGAUGUUUAAACUUGGCGGUCAGGUAAUAUACAGUGAAUGACAGGUUUCCAUGCAGACGUCCAUGUACGGUGACUUUUGCAGCCAAUGAGGAUUGGCGGAAAAAUGCAUACGGUGAACCUCUUAUAUGAGUGAUAACUCUGAAACCUUAUUUAUCUCUUAUCAUUUCCUCACUAUGCUCUAUCAAAACUAUAGAACAAAAAUUCAGACCUUAGUGUUGUUAUAAUGCAAAUUAACAGCAAAGUUCAGAAUAGCAUGGGUCGUCGAAUUGGUGUAAAUUAGACAUCGUGAGGGUAUCUCACACUGGAGAAAUCAGACCGUUAAAUUUCCAAUUUUUCCGCAGUCUUCCCGUAAAUACUGGCUGCCGAAAUUAGCCGACACUAAAGAAGUGUUUCUGAUUUUAGAAUAGCAAGUGGAAAGGACUUACAUAAAAAGAGGCAUUCACGAUUGCCAAUGAGAGUGUUGAGUGGCUGAAAGAGUAUUAAAGGCUCAAGUACGAUUCCUUGUUUGAUGCUGGAGGGCCCUAGUCAUCUGGUAAAAUUUAAAAAGAUGUGGCAGCGGUGGGAUGAGCAGGAGUUAGCAUCAGUAUGUUUAGCUGCUGAGAGCCGACCUUCUACACGAUUGUAAAACACCAGCGGAGUUGAUAGUCGGUUAGAGUAGGUCGGAUCACUGAGUCGAAAAGUCUGAGCGUCUCGACGCUGGUCGGGUAGCGCUACGGGUGCGCAACCGUAGACGAAUCGGCGCGAGCAAGUAUUACACACCAAAUGUCUACCCGUUCGGAAACACCGCAGGCAUGUUCCGUAAAGCCAGCUCAGUAUCUGCAAGGCCAAAAUGCGAAUCAAAGUAUAGCACUUACGAGCACGACUUUCGGAUCUUCUAACCAGUCUGCUAGUCCUGCUCCAUGUCAGCACCAUUUGUAUGCAAAGUCGACGUGUGUCCGCGUACCGCACGUCUCCGAGGCGACGUCUAACUAAGAGCUCUCAUUAAGCUGCACCAGUUCGUCGGCUGUUACCGGUUAGAAUUGGUAACCGUGUUGCAAACUGAAAACUAACUCUAGUAGUUCGCGCAUACGAAAAAGAUAUGGUACCGUUCCGGGCGGAUGGAAUUGCAUUGUUUUCUCGAUAAGGCAAGUUGCGAUUAUAUGAUCCUUUGGCUCCAAGAUUGCUCGACAGGAGAAACCUCGCUUGAACUCAUGGAUAUAUCCUCAACGGUAAUAUUUGCUACAGGAGGAAGCAAAACAGUGAUCGAACACUGCUCGUUGUGGAUGUUUGACGAGGUAAGCCUUGUCUUCAUAAAGACAAAAGCGGGCGUCUGCAGGCGUCAUUCAUGCGUUAACCAACCGGCUUACUCUAGGCUUCAUGGACAGCGCCAAAAACAUGCAACGCAGCGGACCUCGAUCACAUCGAAAUGCGAAAGCCAGUAGUAACCAGAGUUUCAGCCUAGAAGCAUAGUACGACAGCUAUCUCGAAAUAAAAGGUAAAAGACGAUGUCUUGUAUUACAAAGCGCGAGAAAUUUCUGCAGGAAGGGUAAGUCUGGCCAAAAUGGUACAAAUUGUAUUUUAUUUACUUUAAAUAACAAAAUACAUCUUUAUUCAAGGGUGAACUGGAAUAAAUAGAUAUGAUAUUAACGAAAGCACAGGAACGUCAUGGAUUCAAUUUUUUUCAAAUAAACUAAAAAUAUGCUUCUGACUGGAACCAGUAACUGUUGUAUGGUGGUGUGAUCCUGGUUGGAAACGCGUUACGCAGAAUUGCCUAAUAGAAUGUUUACGAAGCCAUCUACCUACAAGCGACAGAAAUUAAUGUUUUUUUUUUAAUUAAAUCAUACGUUUAAUGUAUGUCAUUAAGAGGACUUAAAUCAACGACCUCUAGCUGUCUUAGCCAAAAGUUCAGCCGUCAAAGUCGAAACUCCCAUGCAAAAUCCUGAUAAGUAAAGGACGUAUUUAUCAAUUAAUAUAUUAAAAUAUAUAAUAUAUAAAAAAAAUAUGGUUAACAUAUUAACCAUAUUUU
This 5374-nucleotide long non-coding RNA is filed under the name Varroa destructor (honeybee mite). RNAcentral's name for it is "uncharacterized LOC111250011, transcript variant X1". Lineage: Eukaryota; Metazoa; Arthropoda; Arachnida; Mesostigmata; Varroidae. The record is from RNAcentral.